Molecule: non-coding RNA, 744 nt
Organism: Chrysemys picta bellii (western painted turtle)
Lineage: Eukaryota; Metazoa; Chordata; Testudines; Emydidae
Source: the annotation of a RefSeq genome assembly
GGAGAGACAAUCCGCAGCCCCUGGGUCUGAGCUGUUCCCAGAGACUCUCCCAUAGAACUUGCCCCUGUCAGACCAGGGAAAAUGAAUCUUUGGGUCCACUUAGUUUUCACUUUAGCAGCCUGGGAAGGUGUCCGGUCCCAGAUCCAGCUGGUGGAGUCCGGAGGGGAUGUGAAAAAGCCCGGAGACUCUCUCCGCCUCUCCUGCAAAGCCUCCGGGUUCACCUUCAGCAACCACUGGAUUACAUGGUUCCGUCAGGCUCCUGGGAAGGGGUUGCAGUGGGUCUCUGAGAUUAGCAAGGAUGGUAGCAGCACAAACUAUGCAGACUCCGUUAAAGGGCGAUUCACCAUCUCCAGGGACAAUUCCAACAGCCUGGCGUACCUACAAAUGACCGGCCUGAGAGCCGAGGACACCGCCCGGUAUUACUGUGCGAGAGACACAGUGACACGAAACCUAUUUGUGCUAACCUUGCCUGGGGAGCCCGCCCCAGCUCACCUCGGCUUCGCCUCCUCUGCUGAGGACGCCUGGAUGCACUGGCUCCGGCAGGCUCCCGGGCAGGGGCUGGAGUGGGUAUCAGCAAUUAAGGGAGCAGAUGCGCAGUACGGAGAUUCCGUGAAAGGGCGAUUCACCACCUCCACAGACAGCUCCAAGAAGCUGAUUUACCUGCAGAUGAACAGCCUGAAGCCCGAGGACACCGGCCGGUAUCACUGUGUCAGAGAAACACACAGUGCGGGGAAGCCGGUCUGA